Molecule: ribosomal RNA, 497 nt
Filed under: uncultured bacterium
Lineage: Bacteria
Description: partial 16S ribosomal RNA
Rfam family: Bacterial small subunit ribosomal RNA
Source: RNAcentral
GAUGAACGCUGGCGGCGUGCCUAAUACAUGCAAGUCGAGCGAACGGACGAGAAGCUUGCUUCUCUGAUGUUAGCGGCGGACGGGUGAGUAACACGUGGAUAACCGACCUAUAAGACUGGGAUAACUUCGGGAAACCGGAGCUAAUACCGGAUGAUAUUUUGAACCGCAUGGUUCAAAAGUGAAAGACGGUCUUGCUGUCACUUAUAGAUGGAUCCGCGCUGCAUUAGCUAGUUGGUAAGGUAACGGCUUACCAAGGCAACGAUGCAUAGCCGACCUGAGAGGGUGAUCAGCCACACUGGAACUGAGACACGGUCCAGACUCCUACGGGAGGCAGCAGUAGGGAAUCUUCCGCAAUGGGCGAAAGCCUGACGGAGCAACGCCGCGUGAGUGAUGAAGGUCUUCGGAUCGUAAAACUCUGUUAUUAGGGAAGAACAUAUGUGUAAGUAACUGUGCACAUCUUGACGGUACCUAAUCAGAAAGCCACGGCUAACUACGUG